AAUAAGAAAAUCUAUUUAAAAAAAGAAAAAUAUUGGAAAUAUAUCUCCUCGUCAGUAUAACCGAAGAGUUGCUAAAGCAAAAUUAAUUUUCAAAAUAAAACUUUUCUUGUACUAAAUUGGCAAGAUAUCAACUGUUAAAUUCAAAAUGCACAAUUAAUAAUUACUGCAGAACUUGAUAAGAGCCUGAGCAUAUCUGAAUCAUCCGAAGCAAUUUCAUAUUAUCAGACAUUUGACUAUGUCAAUAAACGAUGGAUGGUGG
Long non-coding RNA from Acyrthosiphon pisum (pea aphid), 259 nucleotides. RefSeq lists it as uncharacterized. The transcript has 3 exons. NCBI's taxonomy places the organism in Eukaryota, Metazoa, Arthropoda, Insecta, Hemiptera, Aphididae. The record is from RefSeq and is a predicted model, not a curated record.